Molecule: long non-coding RNA, 233 nt
Filed under: Brassica napus (rape)
Lineage: Eukaryota; Viridiplantae; Streptophyta; Magnoliopsida; Brassicales; Brassicaceae
Description: long non-coding RNA (BNAP_LNC005955)
Source: RNAcentral
AAGUUUUCUAUUGAAUAUACCUUUACCUUAGACGUCUGAUACAACUAGUAAAAUUACCGAACAUAUAUUAUGACAAAGUUAGGAAAACAAACAGAUUCAUUGCAUCACCUUCCUUCUCUCGUCCGCUUCGAGUCUUGUCUCCUAUUUAAUUACUCAAACUAUAUAAUAAGAAAAUUUAAAACCAAAUAUCUGUCCUGGCUAAUUAGCCUAUAUGUUGUGUAUAGUCUAUAAGA